UUCACUCCUUCUCUCUAACUAGUCGUCUGCUUAUAAAUAUAGACAUAUAUAUAUGCAUGUAUACGUACUCUUCAAUCGUAAAUAAAUAAUUUUAAAAUUCUGUUAAGCAUUUAUGCUAGAAAUGUACAAGAUUGGUUUGUUGUGUCUGAAUCUGUACGGGUCGACAGAUCGGAACAUAACUAACCAGUCAGUAUUGUAUAUUAAUUUAAUAUAUCUUCCACCUAUAUGCUUCGUUCUUCAACAAUCAUCGCAUAUUUUUUCCCGGAAUUAUGUUUCGUUUUCAAUAUAUUGGUCCCUAAAUUGAUUAUUUUUUGUAAUUUCUUAUGGUCUAAAACAGAAUAUUCCGUAUGUUUUUUCUAUGACGAAAAACAUUUACAGGUUGACACGUCAGCCCUUGGAUUCUGGAACGUAUUCUCUAUACUUCACACCUAUAUCUACUUGCUUCAUCUCAGACUGCUUUUCUCCUUGUUUCUUCUUCAUAUUUCAUCUUCUCAGAGUAUAUAGUUAUCGAGGAGAUUAACCAGAUCUUUUUCUACUUAUUUAGUUUGCGAUUAUAUUUCUGAUUGUUCAAUCAACUUUACAUUUUUUUUUUUUUUUGUAAACAAACUUUACAUUUGUUCCAUUAAUUCGUACAAUCUAUUUCUUGUGUGUGUGUGAAUCUGAUACAGGCUCUCGGAGGAUCCGUGGGGAAAGUUCAUCAGUCGUUUUUUGUAGGUGCAGCACCAUCAAGAUUCACAUGGAAAUUGAAAAACCCCUAAUCUUAUUAAUUAGGGUUUUGAUAUGUAUAUAUGAGAAUCUUGAUGAUGCUGCAUCAACAACAGACGGCUACCAAAUACCUAAAGCUACAGAAAGAAACCACUUAUAUUAUUACAUGAAGUCUGGAUCUUGGGAUAUGAUACUCUGUAGUCCAUAUUCAAAUCAUCGGGGUCCUUAUCUGUGAUGCAAUGAUCAAGAACAACAAGAUAUUGAACACAAAUCGAAUACUACUUGGGCCAGUUUAAAUGGUUUUACUAUCUCUUAUAAGUAUAUAAAGCUCGUCUCUAGACAUUUUAUAUAUUGUCUUCCACAACUCUCUUGUACUAACACUUAUUUACUAUUGUUUCAGCUUCUAUUUCUGAGUUAUCACUUGUACUCUAUUCACUAUCAUUGUUCUAAAUUUGUAAUAUUAUAAAUAAGGUUUUUAUGCCAAAUCAAAUCAAACA
Molecule: long non-coding RNA, 1202 nt
Organism: Brassica napus (rape)
Lineage: Eukaryota; Viridiplantae; Streptophyta; Magnoliopsida; Brassicales; Brassicaceae
Exons: 2
Source: RefSeq, a predicted model, not a curated record